This 433-nucleotide ribosomal RNA is filed under the name uncultured bacterium. RNAcentral's name for it is "partial 16S ribosomal RNA". It matches the Rfam family "Bacterial small subunit ribosomal RNA", at positions 29 to 507 of the family's 1533-position model. The record is from RNAcentral.
AACGAACGCUGGCGGCAUGCCUAACACAUGCAAGUCGAACGAGACCUUCGGGUCUAGUUGCGCACGGGUGCGUAACGCGUGGGAAUCUGCCCUUGGGUUCGGAAUAACAGUUGGAAACGACUGCUAAUACCGGAUGAUGACGUAAGUCCAAAGAUUUAUCGCCCAGGGAUGAGCCCGCGUAGGAUUAGCUAGUUGGUGGGGUAAAGGCCUACCAAGGCGACGAUCCUUAGCUGGUCUGAGAGGAUGAUCAGCCACACUGGGACUGAGACACGGCCCAGACUCCUACGGGAGGGAGGAGUGGGGAAUAUUGGACAAUGGGCGAAAGCCUGAUCCAGCAAUGCCGCGUGAGUGAUGAAGGCCUUAGGGUUGUAAAGCUCUUUUACCCGGGAUGAUAAUGACAGUACCGGGAGAAUAGGCCCCGGCUAACUCCGUG